UGGGGAAUCUUGCACAAUGGGGGCAACCCUGAUGCAGCGACGCCGCGUGAGCGAUGAAGCCCUUCGGGGCGUAAAGCUCUUUCGACCGGAACGAUAAUGACGGUACCGGGAGAAGAAGCUGCGGCUAACUACGUGCCAGCAGCCGCGGUAAUACGUAGGCAGCAAGCGUUGUUCGGAGUUACUGGGCGUAAAGAGUGCGUAGGCGGUUUUCUAAGUUCGGUGUGAAAUCUCCCGGCUUAACUGGGAGGGUGCGCCGAAGACUGGGGAGGUGGAGUGUGGGAAAGGCAGGCGGAAUUCCUGGUGUUGCGGUGAAAUGCGUAGAUAUCAGGAGGAACACCGGCGGUGUAGACGGCUUGCUAGACCAUAACUGACGCUGAGGCACGAAAGCGUGGGUAGCAAACA
This 402-nucleotide ribosomal RNA is filed under the name uncultured bacterium. Its description in RNAcentral is "bacterial SSU rRNA". It matches the Rfam family "Bacterial small subunit ribosomal RNA", at positions 355 to 774 of the family's 1533-position model. The record is from RNAcentral.